Long non-coding RNA from Asparagus officinalis (garden asparagus), 426 nucleotides. RefSeq lists it as uncharacterized. The record is from RefSeq and is a predicted model, not a curated record. NCBI's taxonomy places the organism in Eukaryota, Viridiplantae, Streptophyta, Magnoliopsida, Asparagales, Asparagaceae. The transcript is spliced from 2 exons.
UUGAGUAUCAGUUACUCUGGCUUUACCAACAUAUGUUAAUGUAGUAAAUGUCUGAUUCCUUCAAUGUUUACUUUUUUCUGCAGGACUUUCACUUAUGGAAUAUCCGGGAUUGAAGUCUAUUGAUCCUGCUUAUGCAUUACCCGUGGAUGUGGUGAAUAGGAUUUUCUUUGGGAAGCUGAUUGGUGAUCAAAGUUCUUCUAAAGUGCUGUGAACGGUAACUGCGUUGGCUGGUCACUGCUAUUAUGCUAUGCAGUAUCUGAUUGUGUAAAAGUACUUGUUGAAGGAGUGUUUCUAUCAUUUUUGCCGUCUUGAUUCCGUUGAACUUCACUCCCUGUGAAUAUGUCAAAGUGUCUUGUUCUUAUUUUCUUGUUCAGGGCGAUUCUGUAGAACAAAAAUCAUUUGACUUUUAUGUGCAUGACUUUGUAA